This 752-nucleotide long non-coding RNA is filed under the name Brachypodium distachyon (stiff brome). RNAcentral describes it as "long non-coding RNA (BDIS_LNC002017)". The record is from RNAcentral. Lineage: Eukaryota; Viridiplantae; Streptophyta; Magnoliopsida; Poales; Poaceae.
GUGUGGCGGAUUUUUGCUUUGGCGCGGCGGGAGCAGAUGCUCCGAUCGCAUUGUGGAGUUGGAUCCUCGAGUGGUAGUCCAUGUACGAUAGCGCAAGGGCAGUUUUACGGUACCCGUAAUACUAAGGUGAGCGUCGCCGCUUAUUUUUUUUUUACCUUGAUCAGUUAUUUUUCUCUCGUUUUAACAUUCCAGAAGGGUAAUCCUACCUCACUUGAUUGGGUAAGUGGAUGUACAAUCGCAUUGUCUGGGUUCAACUCCUCACGGAUGAAAAUUUAGACUCUUAUUUAUACUGUAGGGCUCUUCUUUACAGUUUUCUUUCAAAAAAAAUUAACAUUUGAGUGGUGGUGCCGCGCUCGGACUUAAUUAGUUCAACUAGGUUAUAGUUAAUCGAUAUAUGUAAGUGUUUUCUACCCAAGUUUUGUUAUUAAAUUGAACCAAUUCUACUUUUUUACUAUCCUUCGAAGCCGUUGACAAGAGGGCUGGGCGGAGAUAUAGGCUAAGCAAGUUAUUAUCCUGAUAUAUCUCAAACCUAGAUAGUCACAUAUAUUUUUUUUUCAAAAGGAGGGACAAUCCCUGGCCUCGGAUAGUCGGAUAUGGUGGUGGUCACAUAUCAACUUAUCUCAUAUCCUGUCAUCUAUAUCAUAUUCUUAUGAAUCAUAAUUGAAGACAAUUGGUGCCAGAUAUCUAUUUCUCCAAACUAUAUGUACUCCAGAAGCUUUCGGUCGGACGCAGUAGCCGGUAAACAAACAUAC